UUCCAAGUAAUAACUAGUAGUCUAGUACAUACUACAAAAACCCUAGUUUUGAAAUGCUAAUGCAAAUACGUAGCGAUUUACAUUUAGAAGCUUUUAUCAUUGUUAAAUAAUUUAAAUGUAAAUCUACAUAUCAAAAUAAUUAUUUACUUAAUGAAAAGUAAAUAUUUUUCUUAAGAAGAAAGCAUCAAUGCUGAUUAGAUUAACAAGUCACUGAUCUUAAAAAUUUUGUUUUUAUAUUGAACGUGUUAAUUUAAGAAAUAUAUAUUAUGAUUGUAAACUUGUGAUGUUAUCAAAGGGAAGGUGCAAACAGGCUUCCCUCAGUCAAGGUUGUGUGUACAAAGUGAAAGGCUCCAACGAGACAGUAAGGACCCUGAUGGGACCCCGAUCUUCGGACCCGACUGAAAGACAUGCGUCCCGUCGGGAAGCGGUCGGCGGGUUAAAAACCUUGUCAUGUCAACUGACGGUAUGAAGCUUGUGUAUAGGGUCGCUUUGUUCGCCUUCGCCCUCGUCGUCUGCUACACGCUGAUGAUGACGGGCGGACUUAACGAUCUUGUGUCGACUGGUGUCUACAGAGAGAUUCGACUCGAGCAGAUGACAGACCGGCUCACCCCGUCCAGCAAGCAUGAGAAAUCCGUCGUUCUGACAGUCGUUGUCUGCGGUGACAGGGUCCAGGAGACUCUCGUCAUGCUCAAAUCGGCCAUCAUAUUCUCACAGGACUCUCUAAAGAAGAUCAUCGUUAUCACAGAGACUGGUCUGUUCUCAAGAUUUCACGAAAAGUUGUCAGAGUGGAAGGAGAUUGCCAACGCGUCGUUUACAUUUGAAACGAGAGUGAUAUCGUUUCCAAAAAACGAGAGCGAGAAGUGGCGAACGUUAUUCAAGCCUUGUGCCGCCCAGAGGCUUUUCCUUCCGAACCUCCUUACCGACACAGAUUCAAUCCUGUACGUCGACACUGAUGUCCUUUUCCUGAGCCCUCUUGAAAACGUAUGGGCGCAUUUCCAAUCGAUGAACUCCACCCAGUUCUCAGCCUUGGCACCUGAGCAUGAAGACCCGCAUACCGGAUGGUACAAUAGGUUCGCGAAACAUCCUUUCUACGGAAAACUCGGUGUAAAUUCGGGUGUGAUGCUGAUGAAUCUUACAAGGAUGCGUGCUUUCAACUGGAACCAGUAUUUAUUGCCAAUACUGAAACAAUACAAAUAUAUGAUCACAUGGGGAGACCAAGACAUCAUCAACAUUAUCUUCCAUUUUCACCCAGAAAGGUUGUACAUAUACGAUUGCACGUACAACUACAGGUCGGACCACUGCAUGUAUAUGAGCGUGUGCAAGUCAGCAGAGAGGGAAGGCGUCCGUGUACUCCAUGGAUCCCGCGGUACAUUCCACUCGAGCAAACAGCCGGCAUUUCAGGCCGUCUUCCGUGCGUUCCAAGAGUUUCAGUUAGGCAGUGACCCGUACCAGCACCUCCUUUUACCUAUGGAGGCUUACUUGAAACAGAGCACAAAGUCCAACUGUGACAAGACUUAAAACAUCAAUGUCAUUGUAAAGCAACAGUUUAUAGAAAAACAGCCAAAAUAAUAUGAGCUUAUGGCAAUAUAACGGGACCUCAUAAUAAAAUAACAGGAUAUUCCACCAGAAAGGAGCUUAUAUUUCCAUAAUAAGAGAUUUCAACAAAUAUUAAGCAGGAAUUAUAUUAUAGCCAAAUAAUACUCAUAAUAAAACACUUAGCAAUGGAUGAGAUCUUCGAGUGGAGUUCAUAUUAAAAUGGCAGAUGUUUUUCUGUUGAGAUGAGACGUUACAAGUUAGUGGUUUAUAGUAAGCAGUCCGCAAAAUUGAGUUCGUAGUUUGUAAUAAAAUAACAGGACUUUAUAGCAAGGUAAUGUGAUUUUAUUUAUAAUUAGAAGGAGCCUGCAUAGAUUGUUGGUAAAGGAAGAGGGCUUAUAGAAGAGCUCGGAAUAAAAUAAUGGACCAAUGCAACGUUGAUUUUUAAAAACUGUUCAUUUAUGCUACAAUUCACAAAUUACAAAUUUAAAAAUUAAAAACCAGUAAUCUUUAACUUCUUUAUCAUGGGCUAAAUUUCUUGCUAUGUACCAAA
Cimex lectularius (bed bug) is the source of this 2086-nucleotide RNA transcript. It is a transcript of the gene named glucoside xylosyltransferase 1, with no coding region annotated. Lineage: Eukaryota; Metazoa; Arthropoda; Insecta; Hemiptera; Cimicidae. The record is from RefSeq and is a predicted model, not a curated record. The transcript has 10 exons.